Long non-coding RNA from Sapajus apella (tufted capuchin), 1369 nucleotides. RefSeq lists it as uncharacterized. The record is from RefSeq and is a predicted model, not a curated record. Lineage: Eukaryota; Metazoa; Chordata; Mammalia; Primates; Cebidae. The transcript is spliced from 4 exons.
GGUCUAUGGAACUCUUAACGGGACAACAGUCCACAUGCCUAGCAGUGCCCACCAGCCACCAAAAAAACCCAAAAACCUCCCAUCAGAAUGCUGGGUCACAACCCCUUAAUGGCUUGAGAUCCACAACUGGAGAAGCUGUGAUCUUGUAGACUUCCCAGGGAUCAAUGUGAUGAAGACUGAGUCAUCUCUGGAGGUGACAAGAUAGGAUCACUCUGGUGCUCUGGAGAGAAGUGACCAAAGAGGGCUAGAAGGAAGCAAUGGGGCUGAUCGGGAGGCCAUCCCAGCAGUCCAGACAAGAGAUGAUGGCGGCUUAGAAUAGGCUGACAGCGAUGGAGGCGGUAUCAAAAGAGGGGCACCUCUUGGCCAAGAUGCUGUGUUAGUCCAUUCUCAUGGCACUAUGAAGAAAAACGCAAGACUCAGUAAUUUUUAAAGAAAAGAGAUUUAAUUGACUUCCAGUUCUGCAGGGCUAGGGUGGCCUCAAGAAACUUACAACCACUGCUGAAGGGGAAGCAAACAUGUCCCUCACAUGGCAGCAACAGGAAGCUCAGCGCGAAAGUGGGGAAAGCCCCUUAUAAAACCAUCAGAUAUCCUGACAACUCACUCUCAUGAGAACAGCACGGAGGUAAUCACCCCCAUGAUUCAAUUACCUCUCACCGAGUUCCUCCCACAAGCAUGGGGCCUGUGGGAACUACAGUUCAAGAUGAGAUUUGGGUGGGGACACAGCCAAACCAUAUCAGGUGCCUUGAUGGCACAUCACCCCCUCAAGUGCUGCUAACCAAGAACAAAUACAUGUUAUUGAUUCCUGGACUAUUAAGCCUUUUUACAGUUGUUAGGCUUUUCCUUUAUUAUAUUGCAAGGGCCAGGUAUGUACUUUUCCCCCUCUGUAUACCCUGGUUCUUGGGGUACCAUAGUUGCCCCAGAAAGAUUUCUUAAUGGGUUGGUUAGUUGUAAGGCAAGCGUUUUAAGAGAGUCAGGGAUCCUUCAGUCAUAAGCGACUAAAAGUCCAGUCUGACUGGCUUAAGUUAAGGUAAAAAUUUUUUUUUUUUUUUAGGUCACACAACUGGGAAGUUUAUGGGGCAGAGUUACCUUCAGGUCUGCCUUCAUGUAGGGGCUUAAGAUAGACACCUGGUUUUUCUCUUUCUCUCCAUAUCUAGGCUCUGCUUUCUUCUUGGCAGGCUCCAUUCCCAGGUAGAUCCCUUCUGUCUGAUUGUAAGAUGGCUGCAGAACUUCCAGCCUUACACCAUCCUGGAUUCAAGUCCAUUAGGAGAGUCUGUGCCUCUCCCAGCAUCCCUGGCAACAAUUUCACUGGACCUGGGUCUCUCCUGAACCAGUUGUGGUGGUCAGUGGACUGUGGUGCUCCAUGAACUUA